Molecule: long non-coding RNA, 1565 nt
Organism: Oncorhynchus keta (chum salmon)
Lineage: Eukaryota; Metazoa; Chordata; Actinopteri; Salmoniformes; Salmonidae
Exons: 3
Source: RefSeq, a predicted model, not a curated record
CACCAUAUUACAUUGUUUAAGGGAUAUAUCAGUGGAGACCACCUCUUUCAGGGCAAUAGGAGACACCAUAUUACAUUGUUUAAUGGAUAUCAGUGGAGACCACCUCUUCCAGGGCAAUAGGAGACACCAUAUUACAUUGUUUAAUGGAUAUAUCAGUGGAGACCACCUCUUUCAGGGCAAUAGGAGACACCAUAUUACAUUGUUUAAGGGAUAUAUCAGUGGAGACCACCUCUUCCAGGACAAUAGGAGACACCAUAUUACAUUGUUUAAGGGAUAUAUCAGUGGAGACCACCUCUUUCAGGGCAAUAAGAGACACCAUAUUACAUUGUUUAAUGGAUAUAUCAGUGGAGACCACCUCUUUCAGGGCAAUAGGAGACACCAUAUUACAUUGUUUAAUGGAUAUAUCAGUGGAGACCACCUCUUUCAGGGCAAUAGGAAACACCAUAUGUCUCUAUAUACUCAGCCAGGGAAAGGGAGAAUCAUGUCUAAACCAAUUUAGGAUGGUUAAUUUUAUAACUUGAGAUAUAGCUGAAUUUAUCUAUGAUCUUCAAUGCGUUUGGGAGCGAUUGAGAUACAGAAAAAUAUUGUCUAUGUAUAACGAGAUGACGUGAUUAGCAGAUUUUAGGGAAAUUCGUGUUUUUGUCGAUUCACGAAUUACCUGGGAAAGGAGUUCAAUGGAUUUUAAAAAUAGCAGAGGAGAAAUCGGAUCGCCUUGUCUGCUGCUUCUAGUGAUUUUUAUUUAUUAUUUUAUUUAUCUGUUAUUUUACCAGGUAAGUUGACUGAGAACAUGUUCUCAUUUGCAGCAACGACCUGGGGAAUAGUUACAGGGGAGAGGAGGGGGAUUAAUGUGCCAAUUGUAAACUGAUGCUGAACGGAGCAGAUCAUUGCCUGUUAGAACUAUGGCUGAUGGAUUGGCAUAUAGGAUUUUAAUCAUAUGAAUGAAAUUUGAGCCAAUGCCAUAGGUUCAGACCGGUUGUUUUUAUUUCUAUACCUACCUAUUGUUCACCUAAUACAUAUUUUUGCACUAUUGGUUAGAGCCUAUCAGUAAGCAUGUCACUAAGGUCUACUACACCUGUUAUAUUCAGCAUUUCACUGUAAGGUCUACUACACCUGUUAUAUUCAGCAUUUCACUGUAAGGUCUACUACACCGGUUGUAUUCAGCAUUUCACUGUAAGGUCUACUACACCUGUUGUAUUCAGCAUUUCACUGUGAGGCCUACUACACCUGUUGUAUUCAGCAUUUCACUGUAAGGUCUACUACACCUGUUGUAUUCAGCAUUUCACUGUAAGGUCUACUACACCUGUUGUAUUAAGCAUUUCACUGUAAGGUCUACUACAUCUGUUGUAUUCAGCAUUUUACUGUAAGGUCUACUACACCGGUUGUAUUCAGCAUUUCACUGUAAGGUCUACUACACCUGUUGUAUUAAGCAUUUAACUGUAAGGUCUACUACACCUGUUGUAUUCAGCAUUUCACUGUGAGGUCUACUACACCUGUUGUAUUCAGCAUUUCACUGUGAGGUCUACUACACCUGUUGUAUUCAGCAUUUCACUGUAAGGUCUACUACA